UCCUACGGGAGGCAGCAGUGGGGAAUAUUGCACAAUGGGGGCAACCCUGAUCCAGCAAUGCCGCGUGGGUGAAGAAGGCCUGCGGGUUGUAAAGCCCUUUCGGUUGGGAAGAACGUGCUUGAGGCUAAUACCCUUGAGCGGUGACGGUACCGACAGAAGAAGCACCGGCUAACUCCGUGCCAGCAGCCGCGGUAAUACGGAGGGUGCAAGCGUUAAUCGGAAUUACUGGGCGUAAAGCGCACGUAGGUGGUUUGUUAAGUCGGAUGUGAAAUCCCCGGGCUCAACCUGGGAAUGGCAUUCGAGACUGGCAAGCUAGAGUCUGGUAGAGGGUGGUGGAAUUCCAGGUGUAGCGGUGAAAUGCGUAGAUAUCUGGAGGAACAUCAGUGGCGAAGGCGGCCACCUGGACUAAGACUGACACUGAGGUGCGAAAGCGUGGGUAGCAAACAGGAUUAGAUACCCUGGUAGUCCACGCCGUAAACGAUGAGAACUAGAUGUUGGGAGGGUUAAACCUUCUAGUGUCGCAGCUAACGCACUAAGUUCUCCGCCUGGGGAGUACGGCCGCAAGGUUAAAACUCAAAGGAAUUGACGG
RNAcentral lists this ribosomal RNA (589 nucleotides) under uncultured bacterium. RNAcentral describes it as "bacterial SSU rRNA". It matches the Rfam family "Bacterial small subunit ribosomal RNA", at positions 337 to 916 of the family's 1533-position model. The record is from RNAcentral.